This 1887-nucleotide long non-coding RNA is filed under the name Olea europaea (common olive). Its description in RNAcentral is "long non-coding RNA (OEUR_LNC002643)". The record is from RNAcentral. Lineage: Eukaryota; Viridiplantae; Streptophyta; Magnoliopsida; Lamiales; Oleaceae.
UUCAGCCCCCGCCCUUUGUCCCUCCACCACUGACUCUUAUGUUUCAUUCUAACUUAAAACAAGAACCAAAUCAUUAUUUCACAAAUUAUGAUCCUUUAACCAAACUUAAAACCAAGUAAGUCUGAUUAUUGAAGUGAUGCAAUGAAAGUCAAAGCGCCAUCGUCCUUGGUUAGAGGUAUAUUGAUUGCAACAUGCUUGGUGUACAUUAUGGUCUAUACCUAUGUUUAUACAUUGUGCCUCGUCUAAUUAUCUCAUUUGACUAUUUAAAAAAAUAAGAAUAAUAAUUUUUCAUCCACUUAUUUCUUGACAACACAUUAAGUGUCAACAUGAGUGUACAUAAUUGAUGUACAAGUGGUAUAAUCCUAUUGAUUGGGCUUUGCUAUGUGUACAUGGUGGGUUAGAAGGAUUUUAUAGGGCAACAGUUGACGCUUUUUUCUUUGCCGAUGACCAAAAAUGACACAUACGGGUGCUAUUAGCACAGCUCUGUGGUGCCUGCAAGUAAUUCUCAUAUAAAAGGAGAAUUACUCAUAUUGAUUCUCUUAAAUGUCGUGUCAUGUUGGAAACAUGUAGACUAUAUUUGUAGGGUACUUCCUCUUAAUGUUAGUCUUUAUUGACUUAGCAACUACUUAACUAUUUGUUUUUCAUGUCGGAAAGGUUUGUGAGCGACUUCAAGUUAGCAGGCUUGCGCACGUAUAAAUCAUAGAAGAUUCAAUCCAUAUUUUCUAUGCAGAUAUGUGACAUUAAAUAAGACUUUGAUGUUUUUCUUAAUAUUGUAUGAUACUACGAAGUUUAUUGUACGAAAAGAUGAAAACCUGUACGUGUUCCAUCCCUAUCAUUGUGACGUGGACAGUGACCUCAAAUAAUCAAACAAACAAGACUUGGACGUGACUAUUCAUCUAUUUUAUAACUUUUUAGUGGUAAAUGACAAGGAAUUCCAAGAUUAUAAAGUGCUAAGCUUAGUACAUCGGUCCAAACACUACCCAGAUAUAUUAUGGUCCAACAUUACAUCCCAAUAGCCUCUCCACUUACUGUUAAAUUAAUUGGCCUCGGGCCCCUAACAGCCUGCUUUUACAUCUAUUUAUACAUGAAAUAAAUCCCACAUAGUUAUUCAUCUAAAUCUCGUCAUUUUAUACUUCUUAGUUCCAUUUUGCAACCAUGUCAACUCCCAAUAUUGGCAUUGCUGAAUUGUACGUAAUGAAAAAGAUGAUCAAGGAGAAGAAAAUGCCGAAAAGCUUGGGGAAGAAAGAGAGUUCUGACUCGGGCUCGGGUUCCCGUGGCCACAGCUUCUGCCGGGGGUUUCGCAGAAUUCACCCUGCAGCUGGUGUUCUCCCAUUGCACCGUCCCUGAAAAUUAAGAUAGCCCAGAAUAUAUAUAUAUAUAUAUAUGCAUGGUUUAUACUGUGACUUCGUGACUCCUAUUACACCAGUUUCUUUUGAUUUUUAUAUUUUGCGAAAUUUUCUAUAUAAUUUAUUUUCCUCGUGUGAAAAUGUUUGAACUUCGUCCAGUUUCGUCUAGUACUACUUUUAUCGACUUCAAAAAACGAGUUUCACUGUAUAUGAGCCAAUGGAACUUCACAUAAGGCGACUUCUAAACUUUCAAGAUGUAAUAGUCACAGAAUAAUUUGUCGGCAAAGUUGCUUGAACCUUGACAUCAGGCCGCACUACAAUACCAUUUAUUUUUGCCUAAUUAUGGGUACAAUGAAUCGUACGUUAAAUUAAAUCUUAAAUAGCAAAAAUAUGAAAAUAGAAACCUUAUUUGAUCCAGUCGAAUUGGAUCCAACCAAGUCCUAGUCAUUGCGUUGCAGUCUCGUUUCUCGACUUCGCUUGUGUGAUUUGGACUUAUGAUUGGUUUCAUUCAUCCCCCAACACUAAUGAGUGCACUACGAAG